Molecule: long non-coding RNA, 704 nt
Filed under: Anser cygnoides (Swan goose)
Lineage: Eukaryota; Metazoa; Chordata; Aves; Anseriformes; Anatidae
Description: lncRNA (ENSACDG00005015809.1)
Source: RNAcentral
GGAGUUUGGGUGUUUUUGUCACAACGCAUGUUGUCACAACGCAUGUUGUGACAAAAUGUUUUUUCAAGCCUUUUGGUCAUAUGUUGACAAAACGUGUGUUCACGCACGUUCGCGUGUUUGGUGAUGAAACACAUUUCCUCGCGUUUUUCAGGUACUGGGUGAUGACAUGCAUGAGCAUGCGUGUUCACGCAUUAUCAGGUAUCGGGUGACAACACACGUGUUCACUCGUCUUCAGGCAUGUGGUGACCAAAUGCAUUUCCACGGGUUUUCAGGCAUAGGAUGACAACACGUGUGUUCACGUGUGUUCACACGUGUUCGGGUCUAUGCUGACAAUGUGUGGGUUCACACCUGUUAGCCAUGUUGUGACAAAUCACAUUUUCAGGUAUAUGGUGACAACAUGUGUGUUCAUUUGUGUUCACGCCUGUUCAGAGCUCAGGUCUUCAGAAGGAUAUUCAAAACCCUUUUUGGAUAGGACCAGGAAACACAAAAAGUUUCUGUGUUCGGAGACAUGAAAUUUGCAAGACAUGCUGACUGUGUACAUACAUCGUUUUAUCCUGAAAUGUGAAAGAUAAAAGUUAACCCUACAGUGGCUGCUGAAGUGGAACUCCUUUUAAGAUUUCCCCCCCACACUUUUAAAUUAUACUGUUUAGGUAAAGCCUACCUUUACAGUUUGCAAUAAAAAUCAUUCAAACUAGGUUUUCUCA